Molecule: RNA transcript, 431 nt
Organism: Otolemur garnettii (small-eared galago)
Lineage: Eukaryota; Metazoa; Chordata; Mammalia; Primates; Galagidae
Gene name: protein transport protein Sec61 subunit beta pseudogene
Exons: 1
Source: RefSeq, a predicted model, not a curated record
ACCGGUCCUUUCAGGGCUCCGCAGCUUUCCAGAGGUCCACUUCAGCACCCUGCAACCCUCCAGGCUCCAGCAUGCCUGGCCCGACCCCCAGUGGCACUAACGUGGGCUCUUCAGGACGCUCUCCCAGCAAAGCAGUGGCUGCCCGGGCUGCAGGAUCCCCUGUCCAGCAAAGGAAAAAUGCCAACUGUGAAACAAGGAGUGCCGGCCGCACAACCUCAGCAGGCACUGGGGGCAUGUGGCUGUUCUACACGGAAGAUUCACCUGGGCUCAAAGCUGGCCCUGUUCCAGUAUUGGUUAUGAGUCUUCUGUUCAUCACUUCUGUAUUUAUGUUGUACAUUUAGGGCAAGUACACUCGUUCAUAGAUUCAGUUACAUUUAUCUGUCAUCUGAAGAAGAAGGAAAAAGCCCAACAUAUCUUGGACCAAAAGUAUA